GGGGCUGUAGGGUAGCUUGGUUAUCCUCGUGGCUUUGGGAGCCAUGGACCCCGGUUCGAAUCCGGGCAGCCCCA
This 74-nucleotide transfer RNA is filed under the name archaeon. RNAcentral describes it as "tRNA-Pro". It matches the Rfam family "tRNA". Rfam says of the family: Transfer RNA (tRNA) molecules are approximately 80 nucleotides in length. The record is from RNAcentral. RNAcentral also lists the same sequence under 3 other names.